GUGCCAGCCGCUGCGGUAAUACGGAGGGUGCAAGCGUUAAUCGGAAUUACUGGGCGUAAAGCGCACGCAGGCGGUGAUUAAGUUAGAUGUGAAAUCCCCGGGCUUAACCUGGGAAUGGCAUCUAAGACUGGUCAACUAGAGUCUUGUAGAGGGGGUAGAAUUCCAUGUGUAGCGGUGAAAUGCGUAGAGAUGUGGAGGAAUACCGGUGGCGAAGGCGGCCCCCUGGACAAAGACUGACGCUCAGGUGCGAAAGCGUGGGGAGCAAACAGGAUUAGAUACCCUGGUAGUCCACGCUGUAAACGAUGUCGAUUUGAAGGUUGUUCCCUUGAGGAGUGGCUUUCGGAGCUAACGCGUUAAAUCGACCGCCUGGGGAGUACGGCCGCAAGGUUAAACUCAAAUGAAUUGACGGGGCCGCACAAGCGGUGGAGCAUGUGGUUAAUUCGAUGCAACGCGAAGAACCUUACCUACUCUUGACAUCCAGAGAACUUAGCAGAGAUGCUUUGGUGCCUUCGGGAACUCUGAG
This 523-nucleotide ribosomal RNA is filed under the name uncultured Providencia sp. RNAcentral describes it as "bacterial SSU rRNA". It matches the Rfam family "Bacterial small subunit ribosomal RNA", at positions 505 to 1033 of the family's 1533-position model. The record is from RNAcentral. Lineage: Bacteria; Pseudomonadati; Pseudomonadota; Gammaproteobacteria; Enterobacterales; Morganellaceae.